CGGACGGGUGAGUAAUACUUAGGAAUCUACCUAGUAGUGGGGGAUAGCACGGGGAAACUCGUAUUAAUACCGCAUACGACCUACGGGAGAAAGGGGGCAGUUUACUGCUCUCGCUAUUAGAUGAGCCUAAGUCGGAUUAGCUAGAUGGUGGGGUAAAGGCCUACCAUGGCGACGAUCUGUAGCUGGUCUGAGAGGAUGAUCAGCCACACCGGGACUGAGACACGGCCCGGACUCCUACGGGAGGCAGCAGUGGGGAAUAUUGGACAAUGGGGGAAACCCUGAUCCAACCAUGCCGCGUGUGUGAAGAAGGCCUUUUGGUUGUAAAGCACUUUAAGCAGUGAAGAAGACUCUUCGGUUAAUACCCGGAGACGAUGACAUUAGCUGCAGAAUAAGCACCGGCUAACUCUGUGCCAGCAGCCGCGGUAAUACAGAGGGUGCAAGCGUUAAUCGGAAUUACUGGGCGUAAAGCGAGCGUAGGUGGCUUGAUAAGUCAGAUGUGAAAUCCCCGGGCUUAACCUGGGAACUGCAUCUGAAACUGUUAGGCUAGAGUAGGUGAGAGGGAAGUAGAAUUUCGGGUGUAGCGGUGAAAUGCGUAGAGAUCUGAAGGAAUACCGAUGGCGAAGGCAGCUUCCUGGCAUCAUACUGACACUGAGGCUCGAAAGCGUGGGUAGCAAACAGGAUUAGAUACCCUGGUAGUCCACGCCGUAAACGAUGUCUACUAGUCGUUGGGUCCCUUGAGGACUUAGUGACGCAGCUAACGCAAUAAGUAGACCGCCUGGGGAGUACGGCCGCAAGGUUAAA
RNAcentral lists this ribosomal RNA (801 nucleotides) under uncultured Psychrobacter sp. Its description in RNAcentral is "bacterial SSU rRNA". It matches the Rfam family "Bacterial small subunit ribosomal RNA", at positions 99 to 898 of the family's 1533-position model. The record is from RNAcentral. Lineage: Bacteria; Pseudomonadati; Pseudomonadota; Gammaproteobacteria; Moraxellales; Moraxellaceae.